This 90-nucleotide small nuclear RNA is filed under the name Haemonchus placei. Its description in RNAcentral is "U5 spliceosomal RNA". It matches the Rfam family "U5 spliceosomal RNA", at positions 1 to 87 of the family's 117-position model. From Rfam's summary of the family: U5 RNA is a component of both types of known spliceosome. The precise function of this molecule is unknown, though it is known that the 5' loop is required for splice site selection and p220 binding, and that both the 3' stem-loop and the Sm site are important for Sm protein binding and cap methylation. Lineage: Eukaryota; Metazoa; Nematoda; Chromadorea; Rhabditida; Trichostrongylidae. The record is from Rfam by way of RNAcentral.
UACCUCUGGUCCCUUUGCAUUUAACCGAGAAAAUCUUUCGCCUUUUACUAAAGAUUUCCGUGCAAAGGGACAAUUAUGAGUAUUUACNNN